This 727-nucleotide ribosomal RNA is filed under the name Gigaspora rosea. Its description in RNAcentral is "eukaryotic LSU rRNA". It matches the Rfam family "Eukaryotic large subunit ribosomal RNA", at positions 36 to 678 of the family's 3401-position model. Lineage: Eukaryota; Fungi; Glomeromycota; Glomeromycetes; Diversisporales; Gigasporaceae. The record is from RNAcentral.
UAGCAUAUCAAUAAGCGGAGGAAAGGAAACUGACAAGGAUUCCCCUAGUAACGGCGAGUGAAGCGGGAAGAGCACAAAUUUUAAAUCUACCUGGUUUUCAGGUCGAGUUGUAAUUUGAAGAUACGUUUUUGACGUUCCGGGUUGGACUAAAUCCUUUGGGAUAAGGUAUCAUAGAGGGGUGAGAAUCCUGUGUAUACCAACCACAGGGAUGUUAUUUAAUAACGUUUCUAAGAGUCGAGUUGUUUGGGAAUGCAGCUCUAAAUGGGUGGUAAAUUUCACCUAAUGCUAAAUAUAAGCGAGAGACCAAUUGCGAACAAGUACAGUGAUGGAAAGAUGAAAAGAACUUUGAAAAGAGAGUUAAAUAGUACGUGAAAUUGUAAAGGGAAACGAUGAAGUCAGUCAUGUCAGUGGGAAUCAACUUAGGGAAAACUCUAAGUGCACUUCUUCGCUGCAGGUCAACGUCGAUUUUGGAUGUCAUAAAAUGAUUGGGGGAAGGUAGCUCCUUAGGGAGUGUUAUAGCCCUUGGUAGAUGUGAUGUCUGGGAUCGAGGAUUGCAAUGGAUACCCUUUGAGGCUAGCUGCCUGAUCUCUAAUUGGUAUUGGGUUACGGAUAGCAUGCUGACCGUGAUCUAAUUAUUGGUUAAAAGGUUAGAGCGCGCAUAAAUUCAUUAAGGACGUUGACGUAAUGGCUUUAAACGACCCGUCUUGAAACACGGACCAAUCACGAA